AGCGAACGCUGGCGGCAGGCCUAACACAUGCAAGUCGAACGAACCUUUCGGGGUUAGUGGCGGACGGGUGAGUAACACGUGGGAACGUGCCUUUAGGUUCGGAAUAACUCAGGGAAACUUGUGCUAAUACCGAAUGUGCCCUUCGGGGGAAAGAUUUAUCGCCUUUAGAGCGGCCCGCGUCUGAUUAGCUAGUUGGUUGAGGUAAUGGCUCACCAAGGCGACGAUCAGUAGCUGGUCUGAGAGGAUGAUCAGCCACAUUGGGACUGAGACACGGCCCAAACUCCUACGGGAGGCAGCAGGGGGGAAUCUUGCGCAAUGGGCGAAAGCCUGACGCAGCCAUGCCGGGUGAAUGAUGAAGGUUUUAGGAUUGUAAAAUUCUUUCCCCGGGGACGAUAAUGGCGGUACCCGGAGAAGAAGCCCCGGCUAACUUCGU
Molecule: ribosomal RNA, 433 nt
Filed under: uncultured bacterium
Lineage: Bacteria
Description: partial 16S ribosomal RNA
Rfam family: Bacterial small subunit ribosomal RNA
Source: RNAcentral